AGGGUUUGAUCAUGGCUCAGGAUGAACGCUAGCGGCAGGCCUAACACAUGCAAGUCGAACGGUAACAGGAAAUAGCUUGCUAUUUUGCUGACGAGUGGCGCACGGGUGCGUAACGCGUAUACAAUCUACCUCUUGCUGAGGGAUAGCCCAGAGAAAUUUGGAUUAAUACCUCAUGGUAUUAUAGAUAGGCAUCUAUUUAUAAUUAAAGGUUACGGCGAGAGAUGAGUAUGCGUCCCAUUAGCUAGUUGGCGAGGUAACGGCUCACCAAGGCAACGAUGGGUAGGGGUCCUGAGAGGGAGAUCCCCCACACUGGUACUGAGACACGGACCAGACUCCUACGGGAGGCAGCAGUGAGGAAUAUUGGACAAUGGGCGGGAGCCUGAUCCAGCCAUGCCGCGUGCAGGAAGACUGCCCUAUGGGUUGUAAACUGCUUUUAUACAGGAAGAAUAAGCCUUACGUGUAAGGUGAUGACGGUACUGUAAGAAUAAGGACCGGCUAACUCCGUGCCAGCCGCCGCGGUAAUAC
This 525-nucleotide ribosomal RNA is filed under the name uncultured bacterium. RNAcentral's name for it is "bacterial SSU rRNA". It matches the Rfam family "Bacterial small subunit ribosomal RNA", at positions 8 to 526 of the family's 1533-position model. The record is from RNAcentral.